CGAGCCUGACGCAGCCAUGCCGCGUGAAUGAUGAAGGUCUUAGGAUUGUAAAAUUCUUUCACCGGGGACGAUAAUGACGGUACCCGGAGAAGAAGCCCCGGCUAACUUCGUGCCAGCAGCCGCGGUAAUACGAAGGGGGCUAGCGUUGCUCGGAAUUACUGGGCGUAAAGGGAGCGUAGGCGGACAUUUAAGUCAGGGGUGAAAUCCCGGGGCUCAACCUCGGAAUUGCCUUUGAUACUGGGUGUCUUGAGUAUGAGAGAGGUGUGUGGAACUCCGAGUGUAGAGGUGAAAUUCGUAGAUAUUCGGAAGAACACCAGUGGCGAAGGCGACACACUGGCUCAUUACUGACGCUGAGGCUCGAAAGCGUGGGGAGCAAACAGGAUUAGAUACCCUGGUAGUCCACGCCGUAAACGAUGAUUGCUAGUUGUCGGGAUGCAUGCAUUUCGGUGACGCAGCUAACGCAUUAAGCAAUCCGCCUGGGGAGUACGGUCGCAAGAUUAAAACUCA
This 507-nucleotide ribosomal RNA is filed under the name Brevundimonas sp. Its description in RNAcentral is "bacterial SSU rRNA". It matches the Rfam family "Bacterial small subunit ribosomal RNA", at positions 378 to 903 of the family's 1533-position model. Lineage: Bacteria; Pseudomonadati; Pseudomonadota; Alphaproteobacteria; Caulobacterales; Caulobacteraceae. The record is from RNAcentral.